GCUCGAAUGGCGGAAUUGGUAGACGCGCUACCUUGAGGGGGUAGUGGGCGAAAGCCCGUGGAGGUUCGAGUCCUCUUUCGAGCACCA
This 87-nucleotide transfer RNA is filed under the name Magnetococcales bacterium. RNAcentral describes it as "tRNA-Leu". It matches the Rfam family "tRNA". From Rfam's summary of the family: Transfer RNA (tRNA) molecules are approximately 80 nucleotides in length. Their secondary structure includes four short double-helical elements and three loops (D, anti-codon, and T loops). Further hydrogen bonds mediate the characteristic L-shaped molecular structure. tRNAs have two regions of fundamental functional importance: the anti-codon, which is responsible for specific mRNA codon recognition, and the 3' end, to which the tRNAs corresponding amino acid is attached (by aminoacyl-tRNA synthetases). tRNAs cope with the degeneracy of the genetic code in two manners: having more than one tRNA (with a specific anti-codon) for a particular amino acid; and 'wobble' base-pairing, i.e. permitting non-standard base-pairing at the 3rd anti-codon position. The record is from RNAcentral. Lineage: Bacteria; Pseudomonadati; Pseudomonadota; Magnetococcia; Magnetococcales.